This 381-nucleotide long non-coding RNA is filed under the name Selaginella moellendorffii. RNAcentral's name for it is "long non-coding RNA (SMOE_LNC000697)". The record is from RNAcentral. Lineage: Eukaryota; Viridiplantae; Streptophyta; Lycopodiopsida; Selaginellales; Selaginellaceae.
ACUCGAGUGCUCAGGAUUUACAUUGCAUCAUGUAAAGGUAAGGUCCCAUGCUUCUUAGACGGGUACAAGAGGAAAGCUAGAAAUCUCCAAAUGUUUACAUUGCAUCAUGUAAAGGUAAGGUCCCAUGCUUCCUAGACGGGUACGAGAGGAAAGCUAGACAUCUCCAAAUGCCGACACCCAAUUAUCACGCGCAUUGCUUCCAAUUGGUCGACAUCCCAAGUAGCUGGAAUCCUCAGAGUAAGCUUUAAAAACUUUCUCUAUGGCGCCAUCAUCUUAUCUAUGCGAAUGGUGUGGCUCAGAGAGGCCAAUCCAAUUCGAUUGGAGGGAUCAAUGUAUUUAUAUAUGCCAAUGGCACUGUUUUUAGUCAUUGAUUCUGUCUCA